Molecule: long non-coding RNA, 348 nt
Filed under: Ananas comosus (pineapple)
Lineage: Eukaryota; Viridiplantae; Streptophyta; Magnoliopsida; Poales; Bromeliaceae
Description: long non-coding RNA (ACOM_LNC028782)
Source: RNAcentral
AAGAUUUAGUUUCUGUUUGGCUUAGCUUUGAAUAUUAUGGUGGCGAUAGUGCGCCACAACAAUCUAUUUGGUAAAAGUUAAAAAUAAUUAUAAUAGGAACUAGGCUGGAAUACUAUCAAUAGCACCAAGCUAUUAGUGCUAUUAGGUUUUCGGCCCUUGGAUGAAAAAAUGUACGGUUAGGAUGAUGCGGGCUCUUUAGGGUUGAGUGAGUUAUUAGUUGAAUAGUAUAAUCUAAUGGGUGAAAAUAGUCAAAGUGUUAAAUCUAACGAUAGAAAACUCGAUAGUACUAAAUGUUUGAUACUAUCGAUAGUAUCCCAGCCGGACUUAUUAUAACAGAUACUUUUUGUU